CAAGUGAACGGGAAAGUGGAGCAAUCCAUGAGUACAGUGGCGUACGGGUGAGUAACACGUGGGUAUCUAACUCUUAGUGGGGAAUAACGCUGGGAAACCGGCGCUAAUACCGCAUAAGCUCGAGAGAGGAAAGCAGCAAUGCGCUGAGAGAGGAGCCCGCGGCCGAUUAGCUAGUUGGCAGGGUAAAAGCCUACCAAGGCAGAGAUCGGUAGCCGGCCUGAGAGGGCACACGGCCACACUGGCACUGAAACACGGGCCAGACUCCUACGGGAGGCAGCAGUGGGGAAUCUUGCACAAUGGAGGAAACUCUGAUGCAGCGACGCCGCGUGAGCGAUGAAGCCCUUCGGGGUGUAAAGCUCUUUCGUCAGGGAAGAUAAUGACGGUACCUGGAGAAGCAGCUGCGGCUAACUACGUGCCAGCAGCCGCGGUAAUACGUAGGCAGCGAGCGUUGUUCGGAGUUACUGGGCGUAAAGGGUGUGUAGGCGGUUCUUUAAGUUUGGUGUGAAAUCUCCCGGCUCAACCGGGAGGGUGCGCCGAAUACUGAGGGACUAGAGUACGGGAGAGGAAAGUGGAAUUCCUGGUGUAGCGGUGAAAUGCGUAGAUAUCAGGAGGAACACCGGUGGUGUAGACGGCUUUCUGGACCGUAACUGACGCUGAGACACGAAAGCGUGGGUAGCAAACAGGAUUAGAUACCCUGGUAGUCCACGCCCUAAACGAUGCAUAUUUGGUGUGGGUCAUUCAGUUGAUCCGUGCCGGAGCUAACGCGUUAAUAUGCCGCCUGGGGAGUACAGUCGCAAGGCUGAAACUCAAAGAAUUGACGGGGGCCCGCACAAGCGGUGGAGCAUGUGGUU
RNAcentral lists this ribosomal RNA (851 nucleotides) under uncultured Bacillota bacterium. Its description in RNAcentral is "bacterial SSU rRNA". It matches the Rfam family "Bacterial small subunit ribosomal RNA", at positions 58 to 946 of the family's 1533-position model. Lineage: Bacteria; Bacillati; Bacillota. The record is from RNAcentral.